This 492-nucleotide ribosomal RNA is filed under the name uncultured bacterium. Its description in RNAcentral is "partial 16S ribosomal RNA". It matches the Rfam family "Bacterial small subunit ribosomal RNA", at positions 28 to 507 of the family's 1533-position model. The record is from RNAcentral.
GAUGAACGCUAGCUACAGGCUUAACACAUGCGAGUCGAGGGGAAACGACAUCGAAAGCUUGCUUUUGAUGGGCGUCGACCGGCGCACGGGUGAGUAACGCGUAUCCAACCUGCCCACCACUUGGGGAUAACCUUGCGAAAGUAAGACUAAUACCCAAUGACGUCUCUAGAAGACAUCUGAAAGAGAUUAAAGAUUUAUCGGUGAUGGAUGGGGAUGCGUCUGAUUAGCUUGUUGGCGGGGUAACGGCCCACCAAGGCGACGAUCAGUAGGGGUUCUGAGAGGAAGGUCCCCCACAUUGGAACUGAGACCCGGUCCAAACUCCUACGGGAGGCAGCAGUGAGGAAUAUUGGUCAAUGGACGAGAGUCUGAACCAGCCAAGUAGCGUGCAGGAUGACGGCCCUAUGGGUUGUAAACUGCUUUUAUAAGGGAAUAAAGUGAGUCUCGUGAGACUUUUUGCAUGUACCUUAUGAAUAAGGACCGGCUAAUUCCGUG